CCUCAUCAGAGCCCAGAGUUGUCCCCUCUUCGGCCCGCUGCCCCUGCAGGUCCCGUCGUACUUUUUGUGCGAACAGCAAGUAGACUUUGUUAGACUCCAGGGCACCACAAUACACAAAUGUGGCGAUUCCAUGACCACUCGACUGGGAUGAAAUAAAAGAGGAUUAAAUGGCUGCUGGAUGCUGCUGCGUGCUUGGAAGAGCCCUUUAGUUGUAAUUAAAAUAUGAGACAUUGUGCAGGAGAAGGGAAGGACG
RNAcentral lists this small RNA (253 nucleotides) under Cryptococcus neoformans H99. RNAcentral's name for it is "Cryptococcus neoformans var. grubii H99 hypothetical RNA". Lineage: Eukaryota; Fungi; Basidiomycota; Tremellomycetes; Tremellales; Cryptococcaceae. The record is from RNAcentral.